CCUCGAAUUCCUAUCAACCAUACUAAAUCUUCCAAAAUGGGAUUCCCGCGAACAAAAAUCCUAGAUUUCUUAGGAGCCUUAACAACUACAUGUACGACUAGGAAUAUAACCGAUCAAAUGACGAGAAAGAUGGAAUCUUUCUCGACCUAUCUGCCAAUGAAUCGCAAACCCUCCAAAAAGGGGAGAGGAGUGCCCUAAAGCCGCUAAUUUCUUCGAAGCCUUAUGAAACCAGGAAUCAAACAAACGGAAUAGAAAAUGGAAAAGAUGAGACCUUCCCCGAUC
This 282-nucleotide long non-coding RNA is filed under the name Elaeis guineensis (African oil palm). RNAcentral describes it as "long non-coding RNA (EGUI_LNC016297)". The record is from RNAcentral. Lineage: Eukaryota; Viridiplantae; Streptophyta; Magnoliopsida; Arecales; Arecaceae.